UUCCUACGGGGGGCAGCAGUGAGGAAUAUUGGUCAAUGGGCGGGAGCCUGAACCAGCCAAGUCGCGUGAGGGAAGACGGUCCUAUGGAUUGUAAACCUCUUUAGGCGGGGAGCAAUGCCGGGCACGCGUGCCCGGAGGGAGAGUACCCGCAGAAUAAGCAUCGGCUAACUCCGUGCCAGCAGCCGCGGUAAUACGGAGGAUGCGAGCGUUAUCCGGAUUUAUUGGGUUUAAAGGGUGCGCAGGCGGAGGUGCAAGUCAGCGGUCAAAUUGCGGGGCUCAACCCCGUACUGCCGUUGAAACUGCAU
Molecule: ribosomal RNA, 305 nt
Filed under: uncultured bacterium
Lineage: Bacteria
Description: bacterial SSU rRNA
Rfam family: Bacterial small subunit ribosomal RNA
Source: RNAcentral